AUACGUAGGGGGCGAGCGUUGUCCGGAAUGAUUGGGCGUAAAGGGCGCGUAGGCGGCUUUGCAAGUCAGUAGUGGAAGUCCAUUUUUCAAGGAUGGAAGUGCUACAGAAACUGCGGAGCUUGAGUGCAGGAGAGGUUAUCGGAAUUCCCGGUGUAGCGGUGAAAUGCGUAGAGAUCGGGAGGAACACCAGUGGCGAAGGCGGGUAACUGGACUGCAACUGACGCUGAGGCGCGAAAGUGUGGGGAGCAAACAGGAUUAGAUACCCUGGUAGUCCACACUGUAAACGAUGAAUGCUAGGUGUAGGAGGUAUCGACCCCUUCUGUGCCGCAGUUAACACAGUAAGCAUUCCGCCUGGGGAGUACGGUCGCAAGAUUAAAACUCAAAUGAAUUGGCGGGG
Molecule: ribosomal RNA, 397 nt
Filed under: uncultured bacterium
Lineage: Bacteria
Description: partial 16S ribosomal RNA
Rfam family: Bacterial small subunit ribosomal RNA
Source: RNAcentral